Punica granatum (pomegranate) is the source of this 1046-nucleotide non-coding RNA. The record is from RefSeq and is a predicted model, not a curated record. Lineage: Eukaryota; Viridiplantae; Streptophyta; Magnoliopsida; Myrtales; Lythraceae.
CAACAGCAGCUGUGACUAUCUCCUCUAGCCCUCUAUUAUCCUCUAUCACCAGCUCACUGAGGUUGUAAAGAACCUUUGCCACAGAGGGAGGGAAGAGAUACUUGAGACUCUCGCAUUUCUCAACUUCAACCGAGUCCAGCUGGGUCCCAACAACAACGUGAUCAGAAUAUUCCAUGCUGCCCUCCGUGAGCCCUUGCAUAUCGUAGAUGACUUCCAAUGAAGAACAAGAUUCUACCAUCAGCUUCUCGAGUUUCCAUAAUGCACGCACCAUGCAGGGUGGGAAUAUGGUAACCAGUGCAUCACAACUUUCUACUGUGAUUUCCGGGAAUUCACUGGAAUGGGGCUAAGGGUGAUCCGAGUUCUAGAGGACUGGGCCAUAUUUUUAUGAUAUAUACUUUAGGUUAGGGUUAUUCAGUGGACUUCAAGCCGAGCCUAAAAAUAUAUCCUCUUAGUUGUUUUUAUAUGUCAGAGUGGCCAGUGUGAGAGUUUAUCGAGAUCUCUGCGUAUUCAAUGGAAUUUGUACUUACCAAAUUUUCAGAAUUUGUACAGAAAAUUAAUCUAUUAUUGAUGUAUAUAUGGAUUAUAUCGGGAAAAAUGCAGGAUCAUAUAGCUAGUAAAAUUAAUAUUUUGAAUCUUAGUUUAUUAUGUAGUAGUAUAAUAAUUGUAGUAAAUAUGAUUAUAAUAUUAUUAUUAUUAAUAUGAGGGCAAUAAUUUAUGGGCCUACGGAAAAGGCCUUAGUUACCUUGCCCUUGGGUCGGCAUUGAAUUGAUUACAUAUGUGUUAUAGCUAAUAACUGCUUUGAGAUGUGUUACCUCACAUAAUAUUUUCUCUUGAUAUUUGUGCUAGCUCGCUGAUCACCAAUUAAAAAGGAAAAGAAAUAAUAAAUGUUCAUACCUUAUCUAACAAGAAGAGGCCGGUUUGUUGAGAAUUAGGAGAACCCACACCAUUACCAGGUGCAUCUUGGAACAAGUCGAUUCCACAGAACAAGUUCUGGAUGCUGUCGCAGCGAUUGAUCUGCAAUGUUUUCAACGAGGGCCAUUUGGAGA